This is a long non-coding RNA of Humulus lupulus (European hop), 2411 nucleotides long. RefSeq lists it as uncharacterized. The record is from RefSeq and is a predicted model, not a curated record. Lineage: Eukaryota; Viridiplantae; Streptophyta; Magnoliopsida; Rosales; Cannabaceae. The transcript is spliced from 3 exons.
UAUAUAUAUAUAAAUUCAUAUAAAUGGGGUGAUAGUCUAUAAAACCAGAGCUCACUGUGCAAGCUGAGCCAAUCGUGGACCCUUAUGGCCCUUUUAUAAUUGAUGAAAAUUUGGAAGCUAUAGUGGUCAGGUUAGUUUUGGAUUAACUUCUUUUUUGGAACAUUUCAUUGAAAUUUAUACAUGAUGAUAAGUAUUAUGAUUUGGCCAUUAAACUGGUUUUUCAAGUUGAUUAGUUGAAUUUUGUUUGAUUAAUGAGCCAGAAGAAGAAAUGUUUGACUGAUUUUGGUUAUGGCAGUAAUGAGACUUUACCAGGUGGAGUUUCAGUCAAUAAAAAGAGAGUUGAAAAAGGGCUUUCACAACUAAAGCUUAAAACAAUGGCCAUGAGUACUUAUCCCCAAAAAAAUCAGAGCUCUAUCUCGCCGUUCCCUUGACUCCGCUACUCUCUCCAUCUCGCUGUCAUGUCUUGUUUUUUCGAGGUACUCUUGCUCGUCUUUGGUGUGCGUGGCGUCGUCUCCGGUGGUGGCUGUUCUCUCUUCCUGUUAAAGGUUUGGCUGUUCUUGGACUUAGUGUUACAAAUAACAUUUGUUUAUACUAUGUAUAUUUGCUUUUUUUGAUUUGUUUAUACUAUCUAAUGUCUUACAAAUUUUUAGUCACAUACUCUAUUAGAAUAUAUAAAGCUGCUAAUGUUUCCAUUUGCACAAGUGUGGAGGUUGUGCAACUAUUGAAAUUGGUUUUGCAACUUUUGAAUUUAAAAACAGGGAUGAUUGGUUUUUAUUUAUUUAAAAUAGUAUAGAUUUGUUAAGGAUUAAUAUAUAUGUAAUCACUGUAACUUUGUGAUUUGGAGUGAUUUGGAGAGGGCUGUACAAGGGUCCUGUUAUUAUAACUUGAGAAUUUCUUAUUUUGAUGUUCUAUACAUUUUAGUCAAAUUUGCUUUACUUGAUAGGAAACAUUGGGGGGAACUAUUGUAUAUGAGUGGUUGAAAUGACCAUGGCAAUAAUAUUUUUGGCUAUGUAAGUUGGGCAUUUGGUUUUGUACAUAAUAAAACAGCCGUACACUCGUAGAUUUACUUACUGACCUCACAUGAAGCUUGUAGAGUAGUCUCUGAAAGUUCUUUUGUACAAGCAUAUUUUGUUACUUUGUUUAUGAGAUGAUAUUUGAUAUUUUUUAUGUCUUUUGUAAGGCCUAAUUUGAGGUAAUUUGGAUACAAUUGUUAGUUUUGUUCUCUUAGAUUUGAAGGUUGCCUACAAAAUAAUCAGACAACUCUGGAAUGAACUCUUUUUCCUUGGAUACAUAUUUGAAACCAAGUAUGCCUCUCUUUCCCUCCACAUAUUGAAAGAGGUUUAUUAGUGACUCCAUUGGGACUGGGAGGGAGGUAUUUAUGAGAGAACAUAUAGUCUUAUGGUGUCACACAUGUAUUAGUAGUUAAAGAAUGAAAAAAUUUUGUUGAUAGAUUUUUUUUUACAUUCCAAAAACUAAAUGGCUUAUUUUUUUCUUGCUUGGGAAACCCCAUGUAUGUUUGUUUCAUUUUUCAGUAAAGAAUACAGUGAAGUAACUGCUUUAUAUCAUGAUUAUUAACUAUUGAAUUAGGCUAGAAACUGUUGAAAAUAAGAUUUAUAAUAUUUAGCAUCCAAGAGGAUGUAAUAGUGCAGUAUUUGUUCUAUAUUGAUAUUUGAACGAUUGUAGGUAGCAAUUGACGUCGUGAAAAGGUAGCCAUCAUCAUAGAGAUUUCCUAGCUUUUAGCAAAAAGAAUAUAACACUAGUUAAAAGAUGGGACUAGGAAAGUUUGAUGAAAUUUUCAUGCUAUAUAACCUUUUAUAGGAUAAGAUCUUUGGCAGGAAAUUAAUUAAAUUAAUGUAUUGUUUUGUAAAAAGGUUUUGGAUAAUAAGUUGAGGGAAAUAUGAUUCUUUUGAGAAGUUUCUGAAUUACUUGAGAUUUUGGCACUAAAUAGAUCCAUGCAUUAUUGGUGAAAUACAACUAUAUUUUUAGUUCUAUAUCUUGUAUUAAUUUUAUAUUUCUAAGUAAGCUCUCUUCCCUUGACAUUUUCAUUAUAUGACAAAGGAUACUGGCUAAUCGGCAGUCUGCUGCUCGUUCAAAGGAGAGGAAAGCUCGCUAUAUACAGGAACUUGAGCGAAAAUUUGAGACUCUUCAAACAGAAGCUACAACUCUAUCUGCCCAACUCACACUCUUUCAGAAUCUUCAAACAUUGGUAGUUGAGGUUUUUAGAAUUUUCCUAACUUUGUUGUAAAUAUUUAGAAUAUAUUUCACUAACUUUGUAUACAUUUCUUAUUUAAUAUUUGGUGAUGAUAGAAUUUGACUGUAGUAUAAACUAUGUAAUAUGAUUUUGUAAGCCGAGUAGACUAAAUAUUGAAAUUAUAUUUUUGAGUAAUUAAUAAAAAAUUAUUUUUGUUGUA